Haliaeetus leucocephalus (bald eagle) is the source of this 4055-nucleotide RNA transcript. It is a transcript of the gene named polymerase (RNA) III (DNA directed) polypeptide B, with no coding region annotated. The record is from RefSeq and is a predicted model, not a curated record. Lineage: Eukaryota; Metazoa; Chordata; Aves; Accipitriformes; Accipitridae. The transcript is spliced from 29 exons.
UGCGGCUUCUCUGCCGGGCUGGUGAUGGAGGCGCUGGCCACGGAGCUGGGGGCUCUGACUCCGGAGCAAGCGGCGGCUCCUGUGAACACGGUGGAGGAAAAAUGGAGACUUCUUCCAGCAUUUCUAAAGGUGAAAGGACUUGUGAAGCAGCACAUAGACUCAUUCAACUAUUUCAUCAAUGUAGAGAUAAAGAAAAUCAUGAAGGCCAAUGAAAAAGUUACAAGUGAUGCUGACCCAAUGUGGUACUUGAAGUACCUCAAUAUCUAUGUGGGUACUCCAGAUGUGGAAGAAAGCUUCAAUGUGACACGACCUGUAUCGCCUCAUGAGUGCCGCUUGAGAGACAUGACUUAUUCUGCCCCGAUUACAGUGGACAUUGAAUAUACACGAGGUAGCCAGAGGAUCAUACGCAAUGCAUUACCCAUUGGCAGAAUGCCUAUAAUGCUGCGUAGCUCCAAUUGUGUUCUUACUGGGAAAACUCCAGCAGAAUUUGCCAAACUUAAUGAAUGUCCUUUAGAUCCAGGUGGCUAUUUCAUUGUUAAAGGUGUAGAAAAAGUCAUCCUUAUUCAAGAGCAGUUAUCCAAAAACAGAAUCAUUGUGGAAGCUGAUAGAAAAGGCACAGUUGGCGCUUCUGUUACCAGUUCCACUCACGAGAAGAAGAGCAGAACAAAUAUGGUUGUGAAACAAGGAAGAUUUUACCUCAGGCACAACACUCUGUCAGAAGAUAUUCCCAUUGCUAUCAUAUUUAAGGCCAUGGGUGUUGAGAGUGACCAAGAGAUUGUACAAAUGAUUGGCACAGAGGAACAUGUGAUGGCUGCAUUUGCUCCUAGUCUGGAAGAAUGCCAAAAAGCUCAGAUUUUUACACAGAUGCAGGCAUUGAAGUACAUUGGAAACAAAGUACGAAGGCAAAGGAUGUGGGGAGGCCCAAAGAAAACAAAGAUGGAAGAAGCACGAGAGCUGCUAGCAUCAACUAUUCUGACCCACGUUCUUGUGAAGGAAUUCAAUUUUCGUGCCAAGUGCAUAUACACAGCAGUGAUGGUGCGCAGAGUAAUUUUGGCUCAAGGAGAAAAUAAAGUAGAUGACAGAGACUACUAUGGAAAUAAACGUUUGGAGUUGGCAGGGCAGCUUCUAUCUCUUCUAUUUGAAGAUUUGUUCAAAAAAUUUAACUCUGAACUGAAAAAGAUUGCUGACCAGGUAAUCCCCAAGCAACGUGCAGCUCAGUUUGAUGUAGUGAAGCACAUGCGUCAAGACCAAAUCACCAAUGGCAUGGUCAAUGCCAUCUCCACAGGAAAUUGGUCUCUGAAGAGAUUCAAAAUGGACCGCCAAGGCGUGACACAAGUAUUGUCCCGCUUGUCUUACAUAUCUGCUCUGGGAAUGAUGACUAGAAUCUCUUCUCAGUUUGAAAAGACAAGGAAAGUGAGUGGUCCUCGGUCACUACAACCAUCUCAGUGGGGCAUGCUCUGCCCAUCCGACACUCCUGAAGGAGAGGCUUGUGGUUUGGUUAAAAACCUUGCCCUCAUGACUCACAUUACUACAGAUAUGGAAGAUGGCCCAAUUAUUAAAUUAGCCAGUAAUCUUGGAGUUGAAGACGUCAACUUGCUCUGUGGUGAAGAACUUUCAUACCCAAAUGUGUUCCUUGUUUUCCUAAAUGGUAACAUCCUUGGUGUCAUACGUGAUCAUCAGAAAUUAGUGAACACAUUUCGGAUAAUGCGUCGAGCGGGUUAUAUCAAUGAAUUUGUUUCCAUCUCUACAAAUCUUUCUGACAGAUGUGUCUACAUUUCCUCUGAUGGAGGGAGAUUGUGCAGACCCUACAUAAUUGUCAAGAAGCAAAAACCUGCAGUUACAAACAAGCAUAUGGAAGAACUGGCUCAGGGAUACAGGAAUUUUGAAGACUUCUUGCAUGAAGGCCUUGUUGAGUAUUUGGAUGUGAAUGAAGAAAAUGACUGUAACAUUGCACUAUAUGAACACACAAUUAAUAAAGAUACAACGCAUUUGGAGAUUGAGCCUUUCACGCUUCUUGGUGUCUGUGCUGGGCUGAUUCCAUAUCCUCACCACAACCAGUCCCCAAGAAACACUUACCAGUGUGCCAUGGGGAAACAAGCAAUGGGUACUAUUGGAUACAAUCAAAGAAACAGGAUAGAUACUCUUAUGUAUCUUCUAGCCUAUCCGCAAAAGCCAAUGGUAAAAACAAAAACAAUUGAACUGAUAGAUUUUGAGAAACUGCCUGCUGGACAGAAUGCCACAGUUGCUGUGAUGAGCUACAGUGGUUAUGAUAUUGAAGAUGCUCUUGUCUUGAACAAGGCCUCUUUGGAUAGAGGUUUUGGAAGGUGUCUUGUAUACAAGAACGCCAAGUGUACACUGAAGCGUUACACAAACCAGACAUUUGAUAAAGUUAUGGGUCCGAUGUUGGAUGCAGCUACCCGUAAACCAAUCUGGCGCCAUGAAAUUUUAGAUGCUGAUGGUAUCUGCUCUCCAGGUGAAAAAGUAGAAAAUAAGCAAGUCCUUGUGAACAAAUCUAUGCCAACUGUGACCCAGACACCUCUGGAAGGAAGUAGUGUGCCUCAGCAGCCACAGUACAAAGAUGUGCCAGUAACCUACAAAGGUGCGACUGAUUCUUAUAUUGAAAAAGUAAUGAUUUCAUCAAAUGCAGAGGAUGCUUUCUUGAUAAAAAUGUUGUUGAGGCAAACUAGACGUCCAGAAAUUGGUGAUAAAUUUAGCAGUCGUCAUGGGCAGAAAGGGGUGUGUGGACUGAUUGUUCCUCAGGAAGACAUGCCAUUUUGCGAUACAGGAAUCUGUCCAGAUAUCAUAAUGAACCCUCAUGGCUUCCCAUCGCGUAUGACGGUAGGAAAGUUAAUUGAACUCCUGGCUGGAAAGGCUGGGGUCCUCGAUGGCAGGUUUCACUAUGGAACAGCUUUUGGAGGCAGUAAAGUUAAGGAUGUGUGCGAAGAUCUUAUUCGCCAUGGUUAUAACUACCUAGGGAAGGACUACGUAACAUCUGGUAUCACUGGGGAACCUUUGGAAGCAUAUAUCUAUUUUGGCCCUGUGUAUUACCAGAAACUAAAGCACAUGGUGUUGGAUAAAAUGCAUGCAAGAGCUCGAGGACCCAGAGCAGUGCUCACCAGGCAACCCACUGAAGGUCGAUCCCGUGAUGGUGGUUUACGUCUUGGAGAGAUGGAACGGGAUUGUUUGAUAGGUUAUGGAGCCAGCAUGCUUUUACUGGAGAGACUGAUGAUUUCAAGUGAUGCCUUUGAAGUGGAUGUUUGUGGGCAGUGUGGCUUGCUGGGGUACUCUGGCUGGUGCCACUACUGCAAAUCAUCAUGUCAUGUGUCUUCUCUGCGCAUACCUUAUGCCUGUAAACUCUUAUUCCAAGAACUGCAGUCAAUGAACAUCAUACCUAGGUUAAAACUAGCUAAGUACAAUGAAUGAAAAAGAUGGAAGAAAGUACUUGACAGAAAUUGAAAUCCAGCAUAUAUAACUGGAAGACUUUUUUGGUGAACAGUUGGACUAAUGACAACACAGAUGUCAGUGCAGCACAUUUGGAUUGGAAAAGCUCUUGAAGCACCUCUACCAGGAUCUGAACAGCUCAGGGUUAUUUACAAAGAGUUAUAAGAAAGUGAAGUGCUCCUUCAAACUGGAGGAAGAGGUUAACCCAAAGCCCCAACCAAAUUAACAACCUUUGCUUUGCUCCCUGAGAUUGCCAGACUGAGGCUCAGGUGCACCAGCAGAGGGAGUGAGCCUCAAAGGCUACGGUCUACUGGUGGGGAAAAGUCUUGACCUCAAUCAAGGAAACUACGCUGAGGAUGGGGUGUUUUUGCUAGCUAGUCCUCUCUUAAGUGGUCUCCUAGGUUAGGUGGUCAGAGCUCCAGCACAUUAAAGACUAAGCAAUGUGUACAAUUACACCUGAGGAAAUUUAGGCAGACAUAGCAGAGAUGGAGGCGGAGCAAAGGCGUGUGCUCGUGAGUAACCCUAUUGAGAGAACAGGUCUACGUGCAACCCUGAGAGGUAACCUUGCUGCUAGUUUACCUCAAGCUGAUAAAAGUGUGGGGUUGAAAGGUUUU